RNAcentral lists this ribosomal RNA (579 nucleotides) under Triticum aestivum (bread wheat). RNAcentral's name for it is "partial small subunit ribosomal RNA". Lineage: Eukaryota; Viridiplantae; Streptophyta; Magnoliopsida; Poales; Poaceae. The record is from RNAcentral.
AUGUAUGAAGAAACUGACUAUGUACGCGAGUUACAGAAUAGCUACUGUACAAGGCUUUUGCGGCGCUUUGAGCUCAUCCACAGUCUCAGAUUCCAACUUGUGAAUGAUCUGGAGGACAUUAUUACUAACCAACAGUACCUGAUGGAAGACAUUACCAGGCUCCCAGACAUUACAUUCAUGUUCCUGGAUAUAACAGGAAACGGGCAUUCCUUUGGACCCAGUUCAUUCCAUCUUCUCAGGAUGUGUACUGGUUUGAGAAAGUUGUCUCUUACAUUUUGUGGCACAACUAGACGCCCGGAGACUCUGUGCCCAUCAGGUUGUGUUUGUGAUCAGCCACCAAGCUGGAAAACCAAAGAACUCGCGCUGAAUUGCCUCCGAGAAGUAGAAGUCUGUAACUUGAUAGGAACUGAACAUGAAGCUGCUCUUGUAGAACGGUUAUUCGUUUGGGCAACAGUGCUACAAAAGAUGACAGUAACUUUCCAUUGCUCAGUCGCUGAAAGCAAGGCCAAGGAGUUCUGCCAGAUGCUUCAAAGUUUCUCUAGGCCAGAAAUAUCUAUGAAGGGGCAACAUUUUGCCUAA